GAUGAACGCUGGCGGCGUGCCUAAUACAUGCAAGUCGAGCGAACGGACGAGAAGCUUGCUUCUCUGAUGUUAGCGGCGGACGGGUGAGUAACACGUGGAUAACCUACCUAUAAGACUGGGAUAACUUCGGGAAACCGGAGCUAAUACCGGAUAAUAUUAUGAACCGCAUGGUUCAAAAGUGAAAGACGGUCUUGCUGUCACUUAUAGAUGGAUCCGCGCUGCAUUAGCUAGUUGGUAAGGUAACGGCUUACCAAGGCAACGAUGCAUAGCCGACCUGAGAGGGUGAUCGGCCACCCUGGAACUGAGACACGGUCCAGACUCCUACGGGAGGCAGCAGUAGGGAAUCUUCCGCAAUGGGCGAAAGCCUGACGGAGCAACGCCGCGUGAGUGAUGAAGGUCUUCGGAUCGUAAAACUCUGUUAUUAGGGAAGAACAUAUGUGUAAGUAACUGUGCACAUCUUGACGGUACCUAAUCAGAAAGCCACGGCUAACUACGUG
This 497-nucleotide ribosomal RNA is filed under the name uncultured bacterium. RNAcentral's name for it is "partial 16S ribosomal RNA". It matches the Rfam family "Bacterial small subunit ribosomal RNA", at positions 28 to 507 of the family's 1533-position model. The record is from RNAcentral.